UACGGGGGGGAGCAAGCGUUGUUCGGAUUUACUGGGCGUAAAGGGCGCGUAGGCGGCCACCGCAAGUCGACUGUGAAAUCUCCGGGCUUAACCCGGAAAGGUCAGCCGAUACUGCGGGGCUAGAGUGCAGAAGGGGCAACUGGAAUUCUCGGUGUAGCGGUGAAAUGCGUAGAUAUCGAGAGGAACACCUGCGGCGAAGGCGGGUUGCUGGGCUGACACUGACGCUGAGGAGCGAAAGCGUGGGGAGCGAACAGG
Molecule: ribosomal RNA, 255 nt
Filed under: uncultured bacterium
Lineage: Bacteria
Description: partial 16S ribosomal RNA
Rfam family: Bacterial small subunit ribosomal RNA
Source: RNAcentral